RNAcentral lists this ribosomal RNA (585 nucleotides) under uncultured bacterium. RNAcentral's name for it is "bacterial SSU rRNA". It matches the Rfam family "Bacterial small subunit ribosomal RNA", at positions 338 to 916 of the family's 1533-position model. The record is from RNAcentral.
CCUACGGGAGGCAGCAGUGGGGAAUUUUGGACAAUGGGCGAAAGCCUGAUCCAGCAAUGCCGCGUGAGUGAAGAAGGCCUUCGGGUUGUAAAGCUCUUUUGUCAGGGAAGAAACGGUGAGAGCUAAUAUCUCUUGCUAAUGACGGUACCUGAAGAAUAAGCACCGGCUAACUACGUGCCAGCAGCCGCGGUAAUACGUAGGGUGCAAGCGUUAAUCGGAAUUACUGGGCGUAAAGCGUGCGCAGGCGGUUUUGUAAGUCUGAUGUGAAAUCCCCGGGCUCAACCUGGGAAUUGCAUUGGAGACUGCAAGGCUAGAAUCUGGCAGAGGGGGGUAGAAUUCCACGUGUAGCAGUGAAAUGCGUAGAUAUGUGGAGGAACACCGAUGGCGAAGGCAGCCCCCUGGGUCAAGAUUGACGCUCAUGCACGAAAGCGUGGGGAGCAAACAGGAUUAGAUACCCUGGUAGUCCACGCCCUAAACGAUGUCUACUAGUUGUCGGGUCUUAAUUGACUUGGUAACGCAGCUAACGCGUGAAGUAGACCGCCUGGGGAGUACGGUCGCAAGAUUAAAACUUAAAGGAAUUGACGG